UCCUAGCCCAGAUGGGAGCGGCAUCCUUUUGUGGUGGGGUUCACCACAAAAGAUAUAGUGGACAGCUGGGAAUAGC
Molecule: small RNA, 76 nt
Filed under: Flavobacterium frigidimaris
Lineage: Bacteria; Pseudomonadati; Bacteroidota; Flavobacteriia; Flavobacteriales; Flavobacteriaceae
Description: Flavo-1 RNA
Rfam family: Flavo-1 RNA
Source: RNAcentral